This 505-nucleotide ribosomal RNA is filed under the name uncultured bacterium. RNAcentral describes it as "partial 16S ribosomal RNA". It matches the Rfam family "Bacterial small subunit ribosomal RNA", at positions 28 to 507 of the family's 1533-position model. The record is from RNAcentral.
GACGAACGCUGGCGGCGUGCCUAAUACAUGCAAGUAGAACGCACAGUUUAUACCGUAGCUUGCUACACCAUAAACUGUGAGUUGCGAACGGGUGAGUAACGCGUAGGUAACCUGCCUGGUUGCGGGGGAUAACUAUUGGAAACGAUAGCUAAUACCGCAUAAUAUUGAUUAUUGCAUGAUAAUUGAUUGAAAGAUGCUAUUGCAUCACUACCAGAUGGACCUGCGUUGUAUUAGCUAGUAGGUGAGGUAACGGCUCACCUAGGCGACGAUACAUAGCCGACCUGAGAGGGUGAUCGGCCACACUGGGACUGAGACACGGCCCAGACUCCUACGGGAGGCAGCAGUAGGGAAUCUUCGGCAAUGGACGAAAGUCUGACCGAGCAACGCCGCGUGAGUGAAGAAGGUUUUCGGAUCGUAAAGCUCUGUUGUAAGAGAAGAACGGGUGUGAGAGUGGAAAGUUCACACUGUGACGGUAUCUUACCAGAAAGGGACGGCUAACUACGUG